This 253-nucleotide ribosomal RNA is filed under the name uncultured bacterium. Its description in RNAcentral is "partial 16S ribosomal RNA". It matches the Rfam family "Bacterial small subunit ribosomal RNA", at positions 524 to 776 of the family's 1533-position model. The record is from RNAcentral.
UACGUAGGGGGCUAGCGUUGUCCGGAUUUAUUGGGCGUAAAGAGCGCGUAGGCGGCCGAGUAAGUCCGACGUGAAAUCUGGAGGCUCAACCUCCAGCGGUCGUUGGAAACUACUCGGCUAGAGUCCGGAAGAGGAGAGUGGAAUUCCUGGUGUAGCGGUGAAAUGCGCAGAUAUCAGGAGGAACACCUAUGGCGAAGGCAGCUCGCUGGGACGUUACUGACGCUGAGACGCGAAAGCGUGGGGAGCAAACAGG